Hyla sarda is the source of this 446-nucleotide long non-coding RNA. RefSeq lists it as uncharacterized. The record is from RefSeq and is a predicted model, not a curated record. Lineage: Eukaryota; Metazoa; Chordata; Amphibia; Anura; Hylidae. The transcript is spliced from 3 exons.
CGCAGAGGGAUUUUCUCAAGGAUUGAGAGAGAAGAGAAGACUCUGGCAGCGACUUACCUUGAUCCAGAACAUACGGAAACUCAGUUGAGGUUUAUGGAGGUGGACAUUCUAUACAUUUCAGCUAGUGGUCUUGUACUAUGUAUUGCACAUGGAUCUGCUCAUGAAAGAACAUUGCACCUUUGCCGAGUUUAAUUAAAUGCCAACACGUCAUGGGUGAGGAGACGGGCAGCGGCAGAUGUAACUUGUGAACAGUGUCAUGCUCGAAACUGCUGAUUCGCUGACACCAGGAACCUAAAAAUCCAACAACUUGCCUGAAAAAAUCUGCAAACCAGACUCGGGAAGGCAAAUGUUUCUACAGAUCAUAUUCACCUUCCAGCGCUUCCACUUCACGUGUCUUAUUCAGCCUGUCACUUGCCUUACGGAAUAUUCCCGGUGUAUUCUACAGA